RNAcentral lists this transfer RNA (73 nucleotides) under Tetragenococcus muriaticus. RNAcentral describes it as "tRNA-Thr". It matches the Rfam family "tRNA". From Rfam's summary of the family: Transfer RNA (tRNA) molecules are approximately 80 nucleotides in length. Their secondary structure includes four short double-helical elements and three loops (D, anti-codon, and T loops). Further hydrogen bonds mediate the characteristic L-shaped molecular structure. tRNAs have two regions of fundamental functional importance: the anti-codon, which is responsible for specific mRNA codon recognition, and the 3' end, to which the tRNAs corresponding amino acid is attached (by aminoacyl-tRNA synthetases). tRNAs cope with the degeneracy of the genetic code in two manners: having more than one tRNA (with a specific anti-codon) for a particular amino acid; and 'wobble' base-pairing, i.e. permitting non-standard base-pairing at the 3rd anti-codon position. The record is from RNAcentral. Lineage: Bacteria; Bacillati; Bacillota; Bacilli; Lactobacillales; Enterococcaceae. RNAcentral also lists the same sequence under 5 other names.
GCCGUCUUAGCUCAGCAGGUAGAGCACCACCAUGGUAAGGUGGGGGUCGCCAGUUCGAAUCUGGCAGACGGCU